RNAcentral lists this ribosomal RNA (462 nucleotides) under uncultured bacterium. RNAcentral describes it as "partial 16S ribosomal RNA". It matches the Rfam family "Bacterial small subunit ribosomal RNA", at positions 28 to 507 of the family's 1533-position model. The record is from RNAcentral.
GACGAACGCUGGCGGCGUGCUUAACACAUGCAAGUCGAGCGGAAAGGCCCUUCGGGGUACUCGAGCGGCGAACGGGUGAGUAACACGUGCGUAACCUGCCCCAGACUUUGGGAUAACCCUCGGAAACGGGGGCUAAUACCGGAUACGACACAGCUUCGCAUGGGGUCUGUGUGGAAAGUUUUGCGGUUUGGGAUGGGCUCGCGGCCCAUCAGCUUGUUGGUGGGGUGAUGGCCUACCAAGGCGACGACGGGUAGCCGGCCUGAGAGGGCGACCGGCCACACUGGGACUGAGACACGGCCCAGACUCCUACGGGAGGCAGCAGUGGGGAAUAUUGCACAAUGGGCGGAAGCCUGAUGCAGCGACGCCGCGUGAGGGAUGACGGCCUUCGGGUUGUAAACCUCUUUCAGCAGGGACGAAGCGUAAGUGACGGUACCUGCAGAAGAAGCGCCGGCCAACUACGUG